UACGGAGGUUCCAAGCGUUGUUCGGAAUUACUGGGCGUAAAGGGAGCGUAGGCGGACUUUUAAGUGAGAUGUGAAAUACCCGGGCUCAACUUGGGUGCUGCAUUUCAAACUGGAAGUCUAGAGUGCAGGAGAGGAGAAUGGAAUUCCUAGUGUAGCGGUGAAAUGCGUAGAGAUUAGGAAGAACACCAGUGGCGAAGGCGAUUCUCUGGACUGUAACUGACGCUGAGGCUCGAAAGCGUGGGGAGCAAACAGGAUUAGAUACCCUGGUA
Molecule: ribosomal RNA, 269 nt
Filed under: uncultured prokaryote
Description: partial 16S ribosomal RNA
Rfam family: Bacterial small subunit ribosomal RNA
Source: RNAcentral